AGAGUUUGAUCCUGGCUCAGAUUGAACGCUGGCGGCAUGCCUUACACAUGCAAGUCGAACGGCAGCGCGGGGCAACCUGGCGGCGAGUGGCGAACGGGUGAGUAAUAUAUCGGAACGUACCCUGGAGUGGGGGAUAACGUAGCGAAAGUUACGCUAAUACCGCAUACGAUCUAAGGAUGAAAGUGGGGGAUUCGCAAGAACCUCAUGCUCCUGGAGCGGCCGAUAUCUGAUUAGCUAGUUGGUGGGGUAAAGGCUCACCAAGGCGACGAUCCGUAGCUGGUCUGAGAGGAUGAUCAGCCACACUGGGACUGAGACACGGCCCAGACUCCUACGGGAGGCAGCAGUGGGGAAUUUUGGACAAUGGGGGCAACCCUGNAUCCAGCCAUGCCGCGUGAGUGAAGAAGGCCUUCGGGUUGUAAAGCUCUUUCGGACGGGACGAAAUGGUUACAGUGAAUAACUGUGAUUGAUGACGGUACCGUAAUAAGAAGCACCGGCUAACUACGUGCCAGCAGCCGCGGUAAUACGUAGGGUGCGAGCGUUAAUCGGAAUUACUGGGCGUAAAGCGUGCGCAGGCGGUUCGCCAAGUCAGGUGUGAAAUCCCCGGGCUUAACCUGGGAAUUGCGCUUGAAACUAGCGGGCUUGAGUGCGGCAGAGGGGGGUGGAAUUCCACGUGUAGCANUGAAAUGCGUANAGAUGUGGAGGAACACCGAUGGC
Molecule: ribosomal RNA, 714 nt
Filed under: uncultured bacterium
Lineage: Bacteria
Description: bacterial SSU rRNA
Rfam family: Bacterial small subunit ribosomal RNA
Source: RNAcentral